CGGCGGACGGGUGAGUAACACGUGGAUAACCUACCUAUAAGACUGGGAUAACUUCGGGAAACCGGAGCUAAUACCGGAUAAUAUAUUGAACCGCAUGGUUCAAUAGUGAAAGACGGUUUUGCUGUCACUUAUAGAUGGAUCCGCGACGCAUUAGCUAGUUGGUAAGGUAACGGCUUACCAAGGCAACGAUGCGUAGCCGACCUGAGAGGGUGAUCGGCCACACUGGAACUGAGACACGGUCCAG
RNAcentral lists this ribosomal RNA (244 nucleotides) under uncultured Staphylococcus sp. RNAcentral describes it as "partial 16S ribosomal RNA". It matches the Rfam family "Bacterial small subunit ribosomal RNA", at positions 96 to 334 of the family's 1533-position model. The record is from RNAcentral. Lineage: Bacteria; Bacillati; Bacillota; Bacilli; Caryophanales; Staphylococcaceae.